CACCUCAACAUCUGUACUCUGACAUAUUUAACAGUUAAUUGUUUAAUCAGAUCAGGUACCAGGUCACUCACAGGUAAGGACCAGGUCACUCACAGGUAAGGACCAGGUCCUCACAGGUAAGGACAGGUCACUCACAGGUAAGGACCAGGUCACUCACAGGUAGGACCAGGUCACUCACAGGUAAGGACCAGGUCACUCACAGGUAAGGACCAGGUCACACACAGGUAGGACCAGGUCACUCACAGGUAAGGACCAGGUCACUCACAGGUUAGGACCAGGUCACACACGGUAAGGACCAGGUCACUCACAGGUAAGGACCAGGUC
This is a long non-coding RNA of Homarus americanus (American lobster), 324 nucleotides long. RefSeq lists it as uncharacterized. The transcript has 3 exons. Lineage: Eukaryota; Metazoa; Arthropoda; Malacostraca; Decapoda; Nephropidae. The record is from RefSeq and is a predicted model, not a curated record.